Long non-coding RNA from Microtus oregoni (creeping vole), 1161 nucleotides. RefSeq lists it as uncharacterized. Lineage: Eukaryota; Metazoa; Chordata; Mammalia; Rodentia; Cricetidae. The transcript has 3 exons. The record is from RefSeq and is a predicted model, not a curated record.
ACUUUGACUGGGACAAAGCAAGAGCGAGAGGAGAGGAAUAAACACAGGAGGAGGAAAAAAAAAAGAAAAAGAAAAAGAAAAAAAGUAUCUGGGGGAAGGCAGGGAGUCUAGUACCCAGUAGAUGGUGCUGUGAUCAAAUUCUAAACCUGUCACCGACUCUCAGCAACCGAUAGAGGAAGUGAGGGGAAAUGACAAGCCCGUCAGUGUUAAAGGCAUACAGUUAAAUGGCUUCAGCCAUUUCCCUCACUUUAAAUAAAGAUUAAUCAUGACGGUGACGACGACAGCGACGGUGAGGAAAGAGGAGGAGGAAGCAAAGCUCCCAGCUCGGAACCGUCGGCUCCAGUGGACAAUAUGAGUGGCUGAGAUGACAGGCCCUCACCAUCAGGCCUAGUUCCUUCAGUAUAGCUGAGCUGUCUGUUCCUGAAGAGGCACUGGGAAGGAAGAGGCACCGAGCUCAACGCAGGAUUCUGGAAUCUCUGGGCCUCUCUUCUGACUGGCUGGCCCUGGUCGUCUUCCUCACCUCAGGACCCAGCAGCCAUCCAGCUGCCACCUUCUAUGUGAUCUGACCAGCCUUUCCCAUCAGAAUCCAUUCCUGUGAUGAAGUCCCGCUUCUUCUAAAUCUGGAGACUCAGCAGGGAAGAUAGGGCUCCUGCCAUGAAAGCAUUCGGAGGCAGACUACUGCAUCUUCUCUGAGGGUUUGCAUUUCAAAGCUGGGAACAAAGAGGACAGAUGUGUAAAUGUCCUUGGUCACCCUGCAGGUGAACACAACUGAAAGAACGGGCCCUGUAAGGGCUCUCCUACAGCAAGGUCUUCACAGCCAGAAUGGAACCCUCAGCAUCUUCCUGCCACCCCUGAGAUUCUACUCCGUCCCAGGGAGGGGAAGGACGAGAAGGACUAAUUAAUCUCCCAACAUUCAUGCUCUUGCCGAAGAGAGCACUUCAAAACUAGGCACAGAAUGGGUGCAAAGACACUUGUCACUUUUGAUGGGUGAGAAGUGGACUUUUUCCUCUCUCGUUGCCUACCUUUCCUCAAGGGAGGAAGGGCUUCUUUCUCCAGGAUGCAGACUUCCCAGGGUGCUGCUGACACAGGGCCUAGGCUCAUCUCUGUGGAGCCCAGGGUAGGAGGGUAGAGGAACUGGCACUGCUCCAAAGACAAGAAGAG